AAGUAGCCCCGAUGGAAGCGGAAAUCCUUUUAUUUUUUUCUGAAUUUGUUUCAGAAAAAAAUAAAAGAUUGAAGUGUACAGCGGGAAAAUUG
This 92-nucleotide small RNA is filed under the name Flavobacterium granuli. Its description in RNAcentral is "Flavo-1 RNA". It matches the Rfam family "Flavo-1 RNA". Lineage: Bacteria; Pseudomonadati; Bacteroidota; Flavobacteriia; Flavobacteriales; Flavobacteriaceae. The record is from RNAcentral.